CGUCACUUUCACUUUCACUUUUUGGAGGCGUCCGUGCCAGCUACGUUCUUGAAGGAAAUGCUUAAAAGGCAUUUAAACUUCAAAUUUACUUGUACAGUAAAGAGUUCCUCAAAUCCUGCAGUGGAGGGCCAAAACCCACUGCAGAGUUCAGCUCCAACCCUGAUCAGCUCACCUACAGUACCUGUGGAUUUCUAAUGCUCUUGAAGACAUUGAUUAGCAUGCUCAGGGUUAGCAUCAUCUGAGGUCCUCUGAGGGAUUGGCAGCAUGUCUUCAGGGGCGAUGCACAAGAUCCAGGGCCCUAUGCAUAGGCAGUCCAAAUGCCAAAUUUGGCCAAAAAUUGGCCAAAUUUUGCCAAAAAUUGUGACCUUAGGGAGCGUGAUGGAUUGUAGCAUGGUAUAAGGCUAGUUAGGUAUGCAGGAGAUAAACCAUUUAGGGCCUGAUUGGUAAGUCAUAAUAAUUUGUAACUGAUUGGGGAAAUUAAUAGAUAGCCAAUGCAGAGACUGUAAAAUUUGGGUAAUAUGAUCAUAUUUUCUUGAACUGGUAAUGACUCUAGCCACUGCAUUUUGGACUACCUGUAGCUUGUUAAUUGAAGAUGCUGAACAACCACCAAGAAGUGCAAGAAGUGUCUAGAGGUCAUGAAUGCAUGAACUAGCUUUUCUGUAUCAAAAACAGGUAACAUGUUUUUGUAACAUGGGAGAUAUGGUUUUCAAAAAGUUGCAGUCUAAUAUCAAGUCAAGUCAAGUCACCUUUAUUUAUAUUGCGUUUUAAACUAAAUACAUUGUGUCAAAGCAACUGAACAACAUUAAUUAGGAAAACGGUGUCAAUAAUACAAAAUGACAGUUAAAGGCAGUUCACCAUUGAAUUCAGUGAUGUCAUCUCAGUCACCCGCAUCUCA
Carassius auratus (goldfish) is the source of this 895-nucleotide long non-coding RNA. RefSeq lists it as uncharacterized. The transcript is spliced from 3 exons. Lineage: Eukaryota; Metazoa; Chordata; Actinopteri; Cypriniformes; Cyprinidae. The record is from RefSeq and is a predicted model, not a curated record.